UAAGGUCCUGCCGAUAACCCCAAAAUAAUCAGCAUGGUUCUUGGAGUACCACAUGUAUAGCUAGUUCUGGGUGCUGCUGCAAUUCAGAUGGAGGAUCUAUGAUGGGUGGACGACCAAGGAAAAGCAAGCCGUUGAAUUUAGAAAUACCUGCAAGCACACGAGCUUAAGAUCCGAUGCAAACUGCAGGGCUGUCGCCAGCCAAGUUCCCCUUGGCAUCUCAUGGAUGUGAGGUGGAUACUGUGACAUUCAGGUAUUUAGGAAAAAGGCAUGCUAAUUUUUAGUAUAAGUUGUGCUUGUUAGAAUGAAGUGUGUAUUGCUUUGAUGAAUGCUUUAAAAAAAAACCUAAAUGCAAGUUAAAGUGUAUUUUUGUAAUUAUGGAAAAAUUAGGGUUCUUUUGCCAAAUGUGAUUGAAGGUAGAGUAAUUUCAAAUUAUAUGAAGGUUAGUUUUGUAAAGGCAAGAAUUUACUUUUAAACCACUGUAAGAAGUAAAAUUAUCCUAAGGUUUCAUUUGGAGUGUGAAUUUUAAAUAGGUUUUAUGUGAAAUUUGAUAGUUUG
Long non-coding RNA from Panicum hallii, 555 nucleotides. RefSeq lists it as uncharacterized. Lineage: Eukaryota; Viridiplantae; Streptophyta; Magnoliopsida; Poales; Poaceae. The transcript is spliced from 3 exons. The record is from RefSeq and is a predicted model, not a curated record.